CACGUAGGGCGCAAGCGUUGUCCGGAAUUAUUGGGCGUAAAGAGCUCGUAGGCGGUCUGUUGCGUCCGCUGUGAAAACUCGGGGCUUAACCCCGAGCCUGCAGUGGAUACGGGCAGACUAGAGGUAGGUAGGGGAGAAUGGAAUUCCCGGUGUAGCGGUGAAAUGCGCAGAUAUCGGGAGGAACACCGGUGGCGAAGGCGGUUCUCUGGGCCUUACCUGACGCUGAGGAGCCGAAAGCGUGGGGAGCGAACAGG
RNAcentral lists this ribosomal RNA (254 nucleotides) under uncultured bacterium. RNAcentral describes it as "partial 16S ribosomal RNA". It matches the Rfam family "Bacterial small subunit ribosomal RNA", at positions 524 to 776 of the family's 1533-position model. The record is from RNAcentral.